UUAUACCUUGUCGAACAACCGCAGUUCGACAAGUACUCUGUCGAAUUAUGGUUGUUCGAUAUGUACCCCUGUCGAAUUGUGGAUGUUCGACAAGGCA
Molecule: microRNA precursor, 97 nt
Filed under: Oryza glumipatula
Lineage: Eukaryota; Viridiplantae; Streptophyta; Magnoliopsida; Poales; Poaceae
Description: pre miRNA MIR439
Rfam family: MIR439 microRNA precursor family
Source: RNAcentral